RNAcentral lists this ribosomal RNA (465 nucleotides) under Vreelandella stevensii. RNAcentral describes it as "partial 16S ribosomal RNA". It matches the Rfam family "Bacterial small subunit ribosomal RNA", at positions 338 to 795 of the family's 1533-position model. Lineage: Bacteria; Pseudomonadati; Pseudomonadota; Gammaproteobacteria; Oceanospirillales; Halomonadaceae. The record is from RNAcentral.
CCUACGGGCGGCAGCAGUGGGGAAUAUUGGACAAUGGGGGCAACCCUGAUCCAGCUAUGCCGCGUGUGUGAAGAAGGCCCUCGGGUUGUAAAGCACUUUCAGUGAGGAAGAACGCCUGGUGGUUAAUACCCAUCAGGAAAGACAUCACUCACAGAAGAAGCACCGGCUAACUCCGUGCCAGCAGCCGCGGUAAUACGGAGGGUGCGAGCGUUAAUCGGAAUUACUGGGCGUAAAGCGCGCGUAGGUGGCUUGAUAAGCCGGUUGUGAAAGCCCCGGGCUCAACCUGGGAACGGCAUCCGGAACUGUCAAGCUAGAGUGCAGGAGAGGAAGGUAGAAUUCCCGGUGUAGCGGUGAAAUGCGUAGAGAUCGGGAGGAAUACCAGUGGCGAAGGCGGCCUUCUGGACUGACACUGACACUGAGGUGCGAAAGCGUGGGUAGCAAACAGGAUUAGAUACCCUUGUAGUC